RNAcentral lists this transfer RNA (85 nucleotides) under bacterium. RNAcentral's name for it is "tRNA-Ser". It matches the Rfam family "tRNA". Rfam says of the family: Transfer RNA (tRNA) molecules are approximately 80 nucleotides in length. Their secondary structure includes four short double-helical elements and three loops (D, anti-codon, and T loops). RNAcentral also lists the same sequence under 4 other names. The record is from RNAcentral.
GGAGGAGUGGCUGAGUGGUCGAAAGCGGCGGUCUUGAAAACCGUUGUGCCGCAAGGUACCGUGGGUUCGAAUCCUACCUCCUCCG